CAAAAUUAAGAUAAUAAAUGUUUCAAUUCAUAAUGUUAAUGUAAAAAAAAAAGUAAGUAUAAAAAGUACAUAUUUACAUAUUCACUUAACACUUUACAAUAAUGUCCCAUUAGGUAAUGUUGGUUACAAAUAUUUCAUACAGAAAAGCAAUGCAUAAACAUACAAAUGAAUGGUCAUUGGAAAAAAAAAUAUAUCACAUUUUUAAUACAAAAAACAAGUUUUGAAAAAUGGACACUUGUUUAAGGCAGACCAUUCCAAAGAGAUGGGAUGAUUUCACAUAUAUUAGUUAAUAAAGUCUUCACUUUCUUUAUCUUCUCUUAACACCAGCUUUAUUUCAGAGGGAGGUUAGAGGGGUUUCCUCCUGAGACCGGAGAGGAACAGAUUGUGGAAUUACUAUUGGGCUACAGGAGUACUGGACCUACAGGCUUCUGGCACAUGAAGAGUCACUGGAGCAUAUGUCGCCAGCACGAUUCAUUCAUUUAAAUUUAUGGAGUGGAAGUGGGCCAGGUAGCGCACCACAGUGACUGUCAACAGCACCUCCAUCUUCACAAACUUCACGUACACCGGUCCCAUCAUCCUACCAUAUGUCCCGCGAAACACAAUUUCUAAUGGACAAGGACAGCUGUAUCAGGCCCCUAAAAUCAUUCCCACCUCUCGCCCCACUGAAGCUAUGGCCCUGCAAACACAAUGGGUCAGAGUUUUAUUUCAGCAGGUUGUCACUCAGGUAAUCAAGUGGGACCUUUCACUGCAAACCAAUCAGUCUCAGUGAGCCCUAUUUGAGCAGCAUUAGCCAUCCUUCCCCUGAGCAUUACAUCAUUCUGAGGGACAACCGAGCCAAUCAACAGCCUGGCAGGAUUACACAGCAUAUGGGCAUGUCCUGACUGUGUUGGAGAACUAAACAGCAUACAAUAAGGAGAGAGAGGCCUAACAUGACCUGUCCUGAUCCACGUCCCCAUCUAUUCACAAAGUGGUCUGUGAGCCUGCGAUGCAAAGCAAAAUGACAAUGGGAUCAGUCCGCAUUUGCAUUAUGAGCACACAAUGCAUGACACAAGCUUGCCCAGAGAGAUAUUUCUGCUCAGAAAAUAUCUGGCUUCAGAAGGAUGUGUCUGCAGUGCUCAGCAUCACUCCACUGACUCUGUCUCUUGCUUAUUAACAAACCAGCCUGUCACUUUAUAAACCCUGCUUCAGCUUUCCCUCAGACACACACACACAUACACAUCAUGAAAUACACUUAGACAAUGGCAAACUCGCAAAUUGUCCAUUUAAUUUAAGUGAAACUGUCACCGUGCACGUCAUGUCAGUCAUAUAGAGCAUGUUGAGGUAAAAACUAUUUUUAAUACAUGCAUAUUAGGGGACUUCUAUACACUAAGAUAAAUCAAAUUUAAAAUAUGACAUGAAUUUAGGCCAGCUAAUCUAUGUAUUGUGCUUUAGUUCACUUCAAAAUGUUACAGUAGGCUGUAUUAGAUAUAAUUAUCAUCAUACUUUAAAUAACAUAAUUACAAUGUUUUUAAUUAUUAGUAGGCACACUAUAUAAUUGUUGUGGUUCACAUAUUGGCUUGUUUUGAUUAAUUUUCAGCAUUAUAUCCCAAAAUGAGCUACAAAUGAGAUGAGUUUGUUUGUUUUUUUCUGCCAGUGGUGCUAUUAAGAAGAUGGGAAUGAUAACAACAAAUUUUCCUGGGUGUCUCCAAAUUCUUAGAUACCCAUAAUUAGCCAUAAAAGUGUCCCCCAUCUAGUAUGUUUAUAUUUCUCAACAUAAUGUAAUCUAGUAGUAAUAGGACAACUAAUGAACCAUAAUAUUUAAAAAUAAAAAAAUAAAAAAGAAACAGAUUAGACUGCACUGAUUAAAUAUCUUGACCCUCUUCACUUAAUCCUCAAUGUCAAAACCUGCAAUGUUUCUAACAACAGGAGCAAAGACAGCAGAAAACUACGUUUAACAUUUUAAUAUGCCUUCCAGGAUAUCUGGAAAUGUGAAUAUACAAAAAAAAAAAAAAGUAAUGACAAAACAAGAGAAUAACACCUACUCUGAAAGUUGCACACAUAACGCACAUGGAAAUGAUCUGUGCACUGAUUUGGCAAGGUUCUGUGUUUGGAUUCAGCUCCACCAUGGAUGGCUGAUGUCUGAGCAUUAUUUAUUUAUUUAUAGCAUGUGGACAAUAUUUCUUCUUCCUCUGCAGACACUGACUUCACUUUCCCAGUCUGAUAGCAUUAAAUGCCUGAAACAAACCUGAUAAAGUGGGCCUGUAUACAUUUAUAUUAAAGUAUUAAAUACUCUAUACCAGUUUACAAUAUCCACUUUAUUAGUCAAUGCAUU
This is a long non-coding RNA of Cyprinus carpio carpio, 2311 nucleotides long. Lineage: Eukaryota; Metazoa; Chordata; Actinopteri; Cypriniformes; Cyprinidae. The record is from Ensembl.